CCUACGGGAGGCAGCAGUGGGGGAUAUUGCACAAUGGGGGGAACCCUGAUGCAGCGACGCCGCGUGGGUGAAGGAGCGUUUAGGCGCGUAAAGCCCUAUCGGCAGGGAAGAAGAUGACGGUACCUGGCCAAGAAGCCACGGCUAACUACGUGCCAGCAGCCGCGGUAAUACGUAGGGGGCAAGCGUUAUCCGGAUUUACUGGGUGUAAAGGGGGCGCAGACGGCAAUGCAAGCCAGGAGUGAAAGCCCGGGGCACAACCCCGGGACUGCGCUUGGAACUGGAUGGCUGGAGUACAGGAGGGGCAGGCGGAAUUCCUAGUGUAGCGGUGAAAUGCGUAGAUAUUAGGAGGAACACCAGUGGCGAAGGCGGUCUGCUGGACAGCAACUGACGCUGAGGCGCGAAAGCGUGGGUAUCAAACAGGAUUAGAUACCCCUGUAGUC
RNAcentral lists this ribosomal RNA (440 nucleotides) under uncultured bacterium. RNAcentral's name for it is "partial 16S ribosomal RNA". It matches the Rfam family "Bacterial small subunit ribosomal RNA", at positions 338 to 795 of the family's 1533-position model. The record is from RNAcentral.